UUCAGAGGUCCCAAGCGUUGUUCGGAUUCACUGGGCGUAAAGGGUGCGUAGGUGGCGGGAAAAGUUUGAUGCGAAAUCUCCGGGCUUAACCCGGAAACUGCAUUGAAUACUAUUCUGCUUGAGGGUUGGAGGGGGGACUGGAAUUCUCGGUGUAGCAGUGAAAUGCGUAGAUAUCGAGAGGAACACCAGUGGCGAAGGCGAGUCCCUGGACAACUCCUGACACUGAGGCACGAAAGCUAGGGGAGCAAACAGG
This 253-nucleotide ribosomal RNA is filed under the name uncultured bacterium. Its description in RNAcentral is "partial 16S ribosomal RNA". It matches the Rfam family "Bacterial small subunit ribosomal RNA", at positions 524 to 776 of the family's 1533-position model. The record is from RNAcentral.